Molecule: ribosomal RNA, 495 nt
Filed under: uncultured bacterium
Lineage: Bacteria
Description: bacterial SSU rRNA
Rfam family: Bacterial small subunit ribosomal RNA
Source: RNAcentral
UGAACGCUAGCGACAGGCCUAACACAUGCAAGUCGAGGGGCGAGCACAAGGAGCAAUCUGAGGUGGCGACCGGCGCACGGGUGAGUAACACGUAUGCAACCUGCCUGUAAGCGGGGAAUAACCCGUUGAAAGACGGACUAAUACCGCAUAAUACUAAAUUACUGCAUGGUAAUUUAUUUAAACAUUUAUGGCUUACAGAUGGGCAUGCGCAUGAUUAGCUAGUUGGAGAGGUAACGGCUCCCCAAGGCAACGAUCAUUAGGGGUUCUGAGAGGAAGGUCCCCACACUGGUACUGAGACACGGACCAGACUCCUACGGGAGGCAGCAGUGAGGAAUAUUGGUCAAUGGACGAGAGUCUGAACCAGCCAAGUCGCGUGCAGGAAGAAUGUCCUUAAUGGAUUGUAAACUGCUUUUGCAGGGGAAUAAAGUGCAUCACGUGUGAUGUUUUGUAUGUACUCUGCGAAUAAGGAUCGGCUAACUCCGUGCCAGCCGCUGC